CUCCAAGGUCUCAUUUAUUUGAAAGGCAGGGUUUUUCAGUGAAACCCUAGCCGCCACCGCGAUACUCACUCUCUCUCAUCGGUAUCAACCUGGAAAUGGCAUGAGUACAGUGUACUCUUUCUUUACGUAGGUCAUGCAUGUCCAUUUUGGGCAAAUCAAUAAAUGCAUUGCCCUUUUUCCACCGCAAUUCAAUCAAACGAGGAUUGUGGAAUGGAUGGAAUAGUGGUUUAAUCUUGAAAGAAAAGAUGAUACUUGUGGUGAUGCAUACCCUCUGUCAAAAUGAGUGUUUUGUUUAGUCUUCUUGAAGGUUUGAACUGCUUAGAAUGAGUAUUCCCUUUGUUAGAAUGCUUUACAUAAAGCUGAACUUUGAAUGAUUGUCAAUAAAUAUCCCCUGCUUCCUUUG
Lycium ferocissimum is the source of this 403-nucleotide long non-coding RNA. RefSeq lists it as uncharacterized. The transcript is spliced from 2 exons. The record is from RefSeq and is a predicted model, not a curated record. NCBI's taxonomy places the organism in Eukaryota, Viridiplantae, Streptophyta, Magnoliopsida, Solanales, Solanaceae.